UACCAUAUAGAUAGACCACAACAGUCUGUUUCAUCCGUAUAGGAAUCAUGACCGCCUGAUGAUUCCUAUACGGAUGAAACAGACUGUUGUGGUUUUUUUG
Molecule: non-coding RNA, 100 nt
Organism: Paramuricea clavata
Lineage: Eukaryota; Metazoa; Cnidaria; Anthozoa; Malacalcyonacea; Plexauridae
Source: the annotation of a GenBank genome assembly